UUGCCUCAGUAACGGCGAGUGAAGCGGCAACAGCUCAAAUUUGAAAUCUGGCGCAAGCCCGAGUUGUAAUUUGCAGAGGAUGUUUCGGGUGAAGCCACGGUCCAAGUCCCUUGGAACAGGACGUCAUAGAGGGUGAGAACCCCGUACCUGGCCGUCGGUGCCCCCCGCUGUGAAACUCCUUCGACGAGUCGAGUUGUUUGGGAAUGCAGCUCUAAAUUGGUGGUAAAUUCCAUCUAAAGCUAAAUACCGGCCAGAGACCGAUAGCGCACAAGUAGAGUGAUCGAAAGAUGAAAAGCACUUUGAAAAGAGAGUUAAAAAGUACGUGAAAUUGUUGAAAGGGAAGCGCUUGCGGCCAGACUUGCCCGCGGUUGCUCAGCCCGCCUUUUGGCGGGUGCACUCUUCCGCGGUCAGGCCAGCAUCGGUUUGGGCGGUCGGAUAAAGGCGCCGGGAACGUGGCCUCCCCUCGGGGAGGUGUUAUAGCCCGGCGCGCAAUGCGGCCAGCCCGGACCGAGGUUCGCGCUUUGCUAGGAUGCUGGCGUAAUGGCCGUAAGCGGCCCGUCUUGAAACACGGACCAAGGAGUCUAACAUCUAUGCGAGUGUUUGGGUGUCAAACCCGUGCGCGUAAUGAAAGUGAACGGAGGUGGGAACCGCAAGGUGCACCAUCGACCGAUCCUGAUGUCUUCGGAAGGAUUUGAGUAAGAGCAUAGCUGUUGGGACCCGAAAGAUGGUGAACUAUGCGUGAAUAGGGUGAAGCCAGAGGAAACUCUGGUGGAGGCUCGCAGCGGUUCUGACGUGCAAAUCGAUCGUCAAAUUUGCGUAUAGGGGCGAAAGACUAAUCGAACCAUUUGCAAACAGCAAUACUAGAUGGUCAAAGGGCGGAGAGCCUUAGUCCCCACGGGGGCCACACUGCCAAACUGCGGGGAACGCCCACAGCCGGACGCCACCGCCCCCCCGCCGCGAGGUGGGAGGGGCACCCCGUUUACUCGGGGGCAUGGUAACAGCGCGCCCGGCGGGUCGAUCCGCAGCCGUCCCCCGAUCCGUCGGGGGGUGGUUCACAGACUAGACGGCGGUGGGCGCGGCGAGCGCUUAAGAUAUAGUCGAUCCAGCCCCUCAAGGGCCGAGA
RNAcentral lists this ribosomal RNA (1123 nucleotides) under Venturia inaequalis. RNAcentral describes it as "partial large subunit ribosomal RNA". It matches the Rfam family "Eukaryotic large subunit ribosomal RNA", at positions 75 to 1448 of the family's 3401-position model. The record is from RNAcentral. Lineage: Eukaryota; Fungi; Ascomycota; Dothideomycetes; Venturiales; Venturiaceae.